RNAcentral lists this long non-coding RNA (5084 nucleotides) under Ananas comosus (pineapple). RNAcentral describes it as "long non-coding RNA (ACOM_LNC025145)". The record is from RNAcentral. Lineage: Eukaryota; Viridiplantae; Streptophyta; Magnoliopsida; Poales; Bromeliaceae.
CCAAGUAGUCGGCGAGUAUGGCUUCGUUUGGAAUUGUGGGGAGAUUGCGUUAUAUGCGAUAAUGCGAUGAAAAAGUACGAUAGAAAAAUAUCCUAAAUAGAAAAAUAUCCUAUUUCUUUCCGCACGUAAUAUUAUAUUCCGCAUAUCACAAUGACUCGCUUAUAAUAUAUUUUCUGCGAUCUCACAGAAAAACGUAGAAAUAUAUCCCUAUACACUUUUACCCCAACUUUAUUCUCAAUACCAAACUAAACCUAUACAAAUGUUACCCAAACCACCAAGUAUAUAAACGCACGCUCCGGUUUCACUGCAUUUGUUUGUUUAAUGUGGGGGCGUGUACGAACUCUGGGCUGGUCUGGGCCAGACUUAAUUUUGGGACCAAGUUAUUAGACCGGUUCGGUUCUGGCCCAGUCCGAUUUUUUUUACCUGCAACGGAUGCGGCCCAGAUUUUCCCGGGCCAUUAUUUUCGACUAGGUUUGCUCAAACCUACUACGGUAAGUCAAUUUAUCCUUACCGCACACCAGUUGAAAAAUCUUACAAAAGGAUUUAGCAGCACGUAACACUCCUCUCAGCGAAAUUAAGAAGGGAAAACUUCAAAAAAAAACCCACGUGGUUUCGCAUUUUUUUAUUUUAAUAUUCUGUAAUUUAAAGUGUAUCAAGUUAGUAUUCUAUAGUUUUGCACUUUCUCAUCACUUUAGUACCAUGUGGUUUAAAAUGUAUCAAGUUAGUAUUUUAUGAUUUUAUUUUUGUAUCAAGUUAGUACCCUAAGAUUUUAUAUCUGUAUCAAUUUAGUACCUUAUGAUUUUUUUUUUUUUUAAUAAAAUAUUAAAUUACAGGGUAUUAAUUUGAUACACUUUAAAUCACAGGAUACUAAAGUGAUGAAAAAGUGCGAAACCAUAGGGUAUUAAUUUGAUACACUUUAAAUCACAGGAUACUAAAGUGAUGAAAAAGUGCGAAACCAUAGGGUAUUAAUUUGAUACACUUUAAACUAAAGGAUACUAAAUUGAGAAAGUACGAAACUACAGAACAGUAAUUUAAUAUAUUUUAAACCACAGAAUACUAAAAUGAAAAAAAGUGAAACAACAAUAGGGGUAUUUGAAGUUUUUCCAAUUAAAGAAUUGAGGGAUGGCUCCGAUAUUUCACAUGGUAUGUACACACGCCCGUUGUAAACGAUUGGUUAACAUAGUUUUAUUUAUACAGUUAGAGAUGUUGGUUUGCAUUUAAAAGAAAAUUAAAACACAUUAAAAUCGUGGGAUUAAAAAGAUAUUGUAGAUUCGACAUUUAUCACCAUGCAUUUAAGGUAUGGAUUCUAUCAAAGCAUUUAAGAUCGUGAGUGGUUGAAUGUUGAAAAAGUUAGUUGUGAACAUUGAGUUCCUUCGCUCAAUAUGUUGUAAUUAGUUUUUAAUCGAUCCUCCUUUUUUUCUUUAUUAAUGGUGUGUUUGGUUCCACGUAAAACCAUAGAAAAAAAUUUUCAAUGAAAAAAAAUUUUUGGUAAAAAAAAAAAAAAUGUUUUUUAGUGUUUGAUUUGGAGGAAAAGAAAAAUAAUUUUUCCAUAACAGUUGUUUGGUUGAAAUAAAAAAAUAAAUAAAAAAUUAUUUAAUAUAUAUUUUUACUUUAUAUAUUAUUAAUAUAUAAUAAUUAGUAUAUUAUAUAUUAUUAUUAAAUAUAUUUAAAAUUGUAAUAAACAUAUAUUAAUAAUAUAUAAGAGUUAUAUUAUAUAUUUAGAAAUAUUAAUAAAUAGAGUCCGGUUAUCAUGCUUGUGAAGCACAAACCAUUUCGUACUUAUAAAUUUUUUACCAUUAAAGUUAUAUUUUAUAUCAUUUUCACCCAUUAGAUUAUACUAUUCAACCAACCAACAACCCUAGAGAGCCCACAUCAUUCUAACCGCACAUAUCUUAAUUCAAUAGACAAAAAUCUUUAAACACCAAUAACUUGAUAUUUUUAAAAACAUAAGAGCUUAAUUCUUAAUAAAUAAUUAUAAAUUUAUAAAUAGAAUAUUAUAUAAUAAUAUUUUUAUAUAAAAAUAAAAUACUAUAUAUAUAUAUAUAUAUAUAUAUAUAUAUAUAUAUAAAGAGUUGAGCUAGAAUACUCUCAAAAGUAUCAAAAAGGUGAUGCUUUUGAGUUUUUAACCUUUGCAUGGAGCGAUGUAGGGUUGGGAUGAUGGUAAUAGGUGGUGGUCGGUAGAAUAGUGUUUGAUCCAAGAACUAUUAGUAAUCAAGGAGUAGAUCUAAGGACUAAAAACGUAGAACCAUCAAGGGGUUGGUGCUUCUAAAAAUAUCCUAGCUCAACUAUAUAUAUAUAUAUAGUCCGGCUACUAUACUAUCGGUAGCACGGAGCGCUCCGUGCUACCGAGUUGUUUUCGAUGAUGCGGCUUUCAAAUCGACGAUCGGCUCCGUUAGACUUGAUCUACAAUAUUGAAAGUAUUUGGAAACUAAAUUUCAUAUUUUUUCAACAUCAUUUGACUAGUGAUCAAAAGAUCUCAAAAUUGACAAUUUUAAUGGCCGAUGUGGUAUGUUUGAGAGUUUAACGGUGUAAAACAAUUCAAAUCCGAUGAAAAUUUUAUAGAAAAUUCUUUUCACUAUUUAGAGUAAGAUCAGUAUAUCUGAUCUUGAAUUUAAAUAUUUUAUCAUCAUUUUUUAUGAGAUUUUUAUUUUUAGCCAUUCAAUUUUAGACUACUUGUUUGAUAGGUAAAUGAUAUCGAAAAAUUAUGAAAUUUAGUUUCUAAAUACUUUUAAUAAUGUAGAUCAAGUCUAACGGAGCCGAUCGUCGAUUUGGAAGCCGCAUCAUCGAAAACAACUUGGUAGCACGGGAGCGCUCCUGCUACCGAUGUGUAUAAGUGUAUAUAUAUAUAUAUAAAUAUAUAUAUAUAUAUAUAUAUAUAUUUAUAUAUAAUAUAUAUAUAUCAACUUAUAUAUAUAUAGUUAGAAUAUUCUCAAAAGUAUAUGAAGGUAUCCUUUUGAUUUUUAGCUAUUGGAUAGAAAGAUGUGAGAUUGAGAUGAUGAUAGUAGGUGUGGUAGGUGAAAUAAUAUUUGAUCCAAAAAUAUUAGUAAUUAAGAGUAGAUUAAGAACUAAAUCUUAAAAGCACCAAAGAAUGAUACUUCUAAAAAUUAUCUAGCUUAAUUAUAUAUAUAUAUAUAUAUAUAUAUAUAAUGAGAGGGAGGUCGACUGUGGACCUCCCUCUCACAUGUUCCAGGAGGUCGAAGUGGCCUCCUAUACCGCAUAAAAGAGUUGGCCAUGAGCCGUGAUUUGGUUCGCUCCGCGUUUUCAUUUUUCGUAGCUCUCGCACAGAAAAUAAAAACAACCGUUUUAUCCUAAAUAUAUAAAAUUAAUUUUUAUGAAAAAAAAUUUUACCUAACAUCAAACGAUCUACAAAUUAUUUUUGGAUCGAAAAUUUUUUUCUAGACACUCUUACAUAAAACCAAAAACGGCCUAAACCACAAAGCCUAUAGAUAUUCGUACACAUGGCACAAGUUCCUUUGUAGGAUUUGGGGCGGUGGAGAUAAUGAAACAAAAGGACCGUUCCACCAACGUCAUCGAUAUCAUAAAAAUGGCACCCAGCUCACGAGAUAUGCCUAGGGAUAUUCUCUUCUCUGCGUAUUAUUACAAUAUUUACGAGGCAUCAAUGAAAAUAGGGAAAACUUCAAAAAACUCCCUGUGGUUUCGUACAUUCUCACUUUGCUACCCUGUGGUUUAAAACGUAUCAAUUUGCCCCCCUGUGGUUUUGUUUUUAUCUUUUUGUUAUCAAUUUUAUUAUUAUUUUUUUUGAAAAUCAGUAACAAAGUUAAAAUUAAAGGAUACUAAAGUGACUAUUCGAUAAAUAUAGAUGGUUAUCUGAAAUUUUUUGUAUAUAAUUUAACGAAAUAUUAACGAAAAAGCUUCCGAAAAGAUAAAAAUAAAACCACAGGGGGGUAAAUUGAUACGUUUUAAACCACAGGGUAGCAAAGUGAGAAUGCACGAAACCACAGGGGAAUUUUUGAAGUUUUUCCAUAAAAAUAUAUGCUUGUGGGAGAGUAUUGAGAAAAUUUUCCCUAAGCAAGAUUAGACAUAAAGCAUUCAAAGCGUACGUACGUACGACUGAUUAGUGCAUUAAUUGUGACAACGUGUAUAUAUCACACUAACUAUUUGAUUAAUUAAUUAGUGAAUUAUCACCGCUCCUAGCAUGAGUAUUACAGAAUUCACUGGUUGAUAUUCGAGGUUCUAAGUUUAAAUUUUAAUUAAUUUAUAUUUUCAGUUAAAUUUAUAUUUUUUUAAAAAAUUAAGUAUUAUACUAUCUUCCUCUCAAAAUAAUAAUAAUAAUAAUAAUAAUAAAUUAUCAUUAAUUUGUGGCUUGUAUUUUUCCUUCACUUAACACGUGCUCAUCAUUUUUAAACUGACAUGAUUGAUAUUUUUUGGAUAACCAAGGAGACCAUCAUUCUCUAAUUUGUAUAACUAAUAUGGUAACAAUAUGUAUAAUUUUUAUUUUUUAAUAAUAUUCCGCAUCGGUUCCUACAGCUCAACUUAAGCUCCUGCUACAUAGCAAUAAGAUCACUUAACACGUGCUCACCGCUUUUAAACUGACGUGAUUGAUAUUUUUUGGAUAACAACGGAGACCAUCACUCUCAAGUUUGUAUAACUAAUAUUUUAACAAUAUAAUUUUUAUUUUUUAAUAAUAUCCAGUGUCGGCUCCUACAGCUCAACCUAAGCUCCUACCACAUAGCAAGCAAACCUCCUACCUGGUCUAGGCAGAAUAUUGAUCCUUUUAAACAACAAUCUUUCAAGCGCAUGUAUAAAUUUACAAAAUGCUAGAAUCGAAUGGAGAUCUUUGAUUCUAAUACCACUUGUCGAAUCAUUUGACGUUAACUAUUAAUCACAAAAACUUGAACUAUUAAAAAUAUACAACCAAUUCGCUUAAAUUGUACAAACACAUUGUUCAUAUGUCUCUAUUGUGCGACGUGGUCCAAUCAGCCUCACGUCAUUUCGAAUAUGACUCGGACCAAUUCCGUCUCCCGUCAUUUUCAAAUAUGAUUUGGCCAAAUUUAAUCUCUCGUCAUAUAACAGAAUCCUAAUCUUUUUAAUUAAAAAAAUCAUAAGAUAUAUAAACAAUCCAU